RNAcentral lists this ribosomal RNA (543 nucleotides) under uncultured archaeon. RNAcentral's name for it is "bacterial SSU rRNA". It matches the Rfam family "Bacterial small subunit ribosomal RNA", at positions 509 to 1050 of the family's 1533-position model. The record is from RNAcentral.
CAGCCGCCGCGGUAAUACGUAGGUGGCGAGCGUUGUCCGGAUUUACUGGGUGUAAAGGGCGUGUAGGCGGGUAUGCAAGUCAGAUGUGAAAUACCGGGGCUCAACUCCGGGGCUGCAUUUGAAACUGUGUAUCUUGAGUGCAGGAGAGGGAAGUGGAAUUCCUAGUGUAGCGGUGAAAUGCGUAGAUAUUAGGAGGAACACCAGUGGCGAAGGCGACUUCCUGGACUGCAACUGACGCUGAGGCGCGAAAGCGUGGGUAGCGAACAGGAUUAGAUACCCUGGUAGUCCACGCUGUAAACGAUGGAUACUAGGUGUAGGAGGUAUCGACCCCUUCUGUGCCGGAGUUAACACAAUAAGUAUCCCACCUGGGGAGUACGGCCGCAAGGUUGAAACUCAAAGGAAUUGACGGGGGCCCGCACAAGCAGUGGAGUAUGUGGUUUAAUUCGAAGCAACGCGAAGAACCUUACCAGGGCUUGACAUCUACCGGAUCCUGUAGAGAUACGGGAGUGCCUUUUGGAGCGGUAAGACAGGAGGUGCAUGGCC